RNAcentral lists this ribosomal RNA (429 nucleotides) under Bacteroidota bacterium. RNAcentral's name for it is "Bacteroidetes bacterium partial 16S ribosomal RNA". It matches the Rfam family "Bacterial small subunit ribosomal RNA", at positions 355 to 776 of the family's 1533-position model. The record is from RNAcentral. Lineage: Bacteria; Pseudomonadati; Bacteroidota.
UAGGGAAUCUUCCGCAAUGGGCGAAAGCUUGACGGAGCAACGCCGCGUGAGUGAUGAAGGUCUUCGGAUCGUAAAACUCUGUUAUUAGGGAAGAACAAAUGUGUAAGUAACUAUGCACGUCUUGACGGUACCUAAUCAGAAAGCCACGGCUAACUACGUGCCAGCAGCCGCGGUAAUACGUAGGUGGCAAGCGUUAUCCGGAAUUAUUGGGCGUAAAGCGCGCGUAGGCGGUUUUUUAAGUCUGAUGUGAAAGCCCACGGCUCAACCGUGGAGGGUCAUUGGAAACUGGAAAACUUGAGUGCAGAAGAGGAAAGUGGAAUUCCAUGUGUAGCGGUGAAAUGCGCAGGGAUAUGGAAGAACACCAGUGGCGAAGGCGACUUUCUGGUCUGUAACUGACGCUGAUGUGCGAAAGCGUGGGGAUCAAACAGG